CCUCGGGAAACUGAGGCUAAUCUGGAAUAGGGCUCUCAUCCUGGAGUGGAGAGAGCCUGAAAUGCUCCGGCGCCAUAGGAUGUGGCUGCGGCCGAUUAGGUAGACGGUGGGGUAACGGCCCACCGUGCCAGUAAUCGGUACGGGUUGUGAGAGCAAGAGCCCGGAGACGGUAUCUGAGACAAGAUACCGGGCCCUACGGGGCGCAGCAGGCGCGAAACCUUUACACUGCACGCCAGUGCGAUAAGGGGACUCCAAGUGCGAGGGCAUAUAGUCCUCGCUUUUUGCGACCGUAAGGUGGUCGCGGAAUAAGUGCUGGGCAAGACCGGUGCCAGCCGCCGCGGUAAUACCGGCAGCACAAGUGAUGACCGCUGUUAUUGGGCCUAAAGCGUCCGUAGCUGGCCGCACAAGUCUAUCGGGAAAUCUGCGUGCUUAACGCGCAGGCGUCCGGUGGAAACUGUGUGGCUUGGGACCGGAAGACCAGAGGGGUACGUCUGGGGUAGGAGUGAAAUCCCGUAAUCCUGGACGGACCACCGGUGGCGAAAGCGCCUCUGGAAGACGGAUCCGACGGUGAGGGACGAAAGCUCGGGUCACGAACCGGAU
This 600-nucleotide ribosomal RNA is filed under the name uncultured archaeon. RNAcentral's name for it is "bacterial SSU rRNA". It matches the Rfam family "Archaeal small subunit ribosomal RNA", at positions 130 to 729 of the family's 1478-position model. The record is from RNAcentral.